GACGAACGCUGGCGGCGUGCCUAAUACAUGCAAGUCGAACGCUGAAGGAGGAGCUUGCUUCUCUGGAUGAGUUGCGAACGGGUAAGUAACGCGUAGGUAACCUGCCUGGUAGCGGGGGAUAACUAUUGGAAACGAUAGCUAAUACCGCAUAAGAGUAGAUGUUGCAUGACAUUUGCUUAAAAGUUGCAAUUGCAUCACUACCAGAUGGACCUGCGUUGUAUUAGCUAGUUGGUGGGGUAACGGCUCACCAAGGCGACGAUCCAUCGCCGACCUGAGAGGGAGAUAGGCCACACUGGGAAUGAGACACGGCCCAGACUCCUACGGGAGGCAGCAGUAGGGAAGCAUCGGAAAUGGACGGAAAGCUGACCGAGCAACGACGCGUGAGGGAAGAAGGGUGUCGGAGCGUAAAGCUCUGUUGUAAGAGAAGAACGAGAGUGAGAGUGGAAAGUUCACACUGUGACGGUAUCUUAACAGAAAGGGACGGCUAACUACGUG
This 495-nucleotide ribosomal RNA is filed under the name uncultured bacterium. Its description in RNAcentral is "partial 16S ribosomal RNA". It matches the Rfam family "Bacterial small subunit ribosomal RNA", at positions 28 to 507 of the family's 1533-position model. The record is from RNAcentral.